RNAcentral lists this transfer RNA (72 nucleotides) under Callorhinchus milii (elephant shark). Its description in RNAcentral is "tRNA-Leu (CAG) (tRNA-Leu-CAG-9-1)". It matches the Rfam family "tRNA". From Rfam's summary of the family: Transfer RNA (tRNA) molecules are approximately 80 nucleotides in length. Their secondary structure includes four short double-helical elements and three loops (D, anti-codon, and T loops). Lineage: Eukaryota; Metazoa; Chordata; Chondrichthyes; Chimaeriformes; Callorhinchidae. The record is from Rfam by way of RNAcentral.
AGUCCUGUAGCUCAGUGGUUAGAGCGCUCGCCUCAGAAGCGAGAGACCUGGGUUCGAUUCCCGGCAGGGUGA